Molecule: ribosomal RNA, 464 nt
Filed under: Hoylesella oralis
Lineage: Bacteria; Pseudomonadati; Bacteroidota; Bacteroidia; Bacteroidales; Prevotellaceae
Description: bacterial SSU rRNA
Rfam family: Bacterial small subunit ribosomal RNA
Source: RNAcentral
GAUGAACGCUAGCUACAGGCUUAACACAUGCAAGUCGCGGGGCAUCAUGGAGGUUGCUUGCAAUUUCUGAUGGCGACCGGCGCACGGGUGAGUAACGCGUAUCCAACCUUCCCAUUACUACGGCAUACCCCGUUGAAAGGCGGCCUAAUUCCGUAUGCAGUCCGAAGCAGUCAUCUAAUUUGGACGAAAGGUAUAUUCUAUCGGUAAUGGAUGGGGAUGCGUCCGAUUAGCCAGCCGGCGGGGUAACGGCCCACCGGGGCAUCGAUCGGUAGGGGUUCUGAGAGGAAGGUCCCCCACACUGGAACUGAGACACGGUCCAGACUCCUACGGGAGGCAGCAGUGAGGAAUAUUGGUCAAUGGGCGUAAGCCUGAACCAGCCAAGUAGCGUGCAGGAUGACGGCCCUAUGGGUUGUAAACUGCUUUUAUGCGGGGAUAAAGUUGGGGACGUGUCCCUUUAGCAGGUA